CCAUACGGUUUCUACUUGAGUCUCACUCUAAUCGGAUUCUCCCGGAGAACUCUUUCUCUCUCAACCCGAAUGACCCUGGCCAGGGAUUUGUCUGAGCAAGAACACAUGGGAUAUUCCUCUCAUGACGCCGAGAGUGGAUGAUCCUCUGUCGACACUCAAUAGCCCUCGUAAGGUCGACUACCACUCCCAAUGACCAGCUGUACUAGAUCUGGGACAGCCAAACCUAUAAGUCUGGUAUCAAAGAGUGGAGCACUCAUAUAGGACAUCCUUGGUGUCUCAAGUCUAAGGACCAGAUACACCACUAGGACUACGGAAUCGCUGUCUGACAAUAAGGCAUCAUCAACCAUCCAGCAUUCCGUAAGCGGAUCAAUCAGUGAACUCAUUCUCCAAUGAGCACCUAUACUGUAUCCCUAGUGUCCCUACACGAGCAGCUAUGAGACCAGCUGCAUCCAUCAUAUGGACGGGUAUACAGCACACCAGUCUAUCCGGUUAUCACGAUAUCCCUCUCGAGUAACCUAUGACCGGGAUUAUUUAGGAUAUGUGUUUAAAGGUGAAUCGAUCUCAUUAUCGUGAUCUCAUCACGAUCCGAUUCCCAUUGCACAAAUCCAAGGACAUCACAAUAUAUAUAUGCAUUUAUGCAAUAAUUAUAAAGUGAUAUACGCCAAAAUAUAAUAAGCAAAAAGAUUCUGUAUCAAGUCACACGUGCAAUCACUCACGUGAUUGGCUUGUUGGGCACCUUUGACUAGCACUACGGACGUACUAGGCCACUACGUCGUAGUCCCCAAACGAUACAGGAGAAUCCAAUCCAUUGGACCUGUCUGUCCUCAGUUACCGUGUACCUAUAGUCCCUCAUUCAUCUAAUAUCCCAGAUAUCGUAUAUCGAGUAUGGUGUUGUUAGACCCAUACAGUUUCUACUCGAGUCUCGCUCUAAUCGGAUUCUCCCGGAGGACUCUUUUUCUCUCAACCUGAAUGACCCUGGCCAAGGAUUUGUUUGAGCAAGAACACAUGGGAUAUUCCUCUCAUGACGCCGAGAGUGGAUGAUCCUCUAUCGACACUCAAUAGCCCUAGUAAGGUCGACUACCACUCCCAAUGACCAGUUGUACUAGAUUUGGGACAGCCAAACCUAUAAGUCU
Molecule: long non-coding RNA, 1133 nt
Filed under: Musa acuminata (dwarf banana)
Lineage: Eukaryota; Viridiplantae; Streptophyta; Magnoliopsida; Zingiberales; Musaceae
Description: long non-coding RNA (MACU_LNC004494)
Source: RNAcentral